AGAGUUUGAUCAUGGCUCAGAUUGAACGCUGGCGGCAUGCCUUACACAUGCAAGUCGAACGCGAAAGCGGGGCAACCUGGCGACGAGUGGCGAACGGGUGAGUAAUGUAUCGGAACGUGCCCAGUAGUGGGGGAUAGCCCGGCGAAAGCCGGAUUAAUACCGCAUACGACCUACGGGUGAAAGAGGGGGAUCGCAAGACCUCUCGCUAUUGGAGCGGCCGAUAUCAGAUUAGGUAGUUGGUGGGGUAAAAGCUCACCAAGCCGACGAUCUGUAGCUGGUCUGAGAGGACGACCAGCCACACUGGGACUGAGACACGGCCCAGACUCCUACGGGAGGCAGCAGUGGGGAAUUUUGGACAAUGGGCGCAAGCCUGAUCCAGCCAUGCCGCGUGCGGGAAGAAGGCCUUCGGGUUGUAAACCGCUUUUGUCAGGGAAGAAAUCCUUUGGGCUAAUACCCCGGGGGGAUGACGGUACCUGAAGAAUAAGCACCGGCUAACUACGUGCCAGCAGCCGCGGUAAUACGUAGGGUGCAAGCGUUAAUCGGAAUUACUGGGCGUAAAGCGUGCGCAGGCGGUUGUGUAAGACAGAUGUGAAAUCCCCGGGCUCAACCUGGGAACUGCAUUUGUGACUGCACAGCUGGAGUGCGGCAGAGGGGGAUGGAAUUCCGCGUAGCAGUGAAAUGCGUAGAUAUGCGGAGGAACACCGAUGGCGAAGGCAAUCCCCUGGGCCUGCACUGACGCUCAUGCACGAAAGCGUGGGGAGCAAACAGGAUUAGAUACCCUAGUAGUCC
Molecule: ribosomal RNA, 789 nt
Filed under: uncultured bacterium
Lineage: Bacteria
Description: bacterial SSU rRNA
Rfam family: Bacterial small subunit ribosomal RNA
Source: RNAcentral